UGCUACAUGUUCCGCAUCGACGAGGCCGAGGUGGUGGACGCCACCAUGCACGGCAGCGCCGCGCGCUUCAUCAACCACUCGUGCGAGCCCAACUGCUACUCGCGCGUCAUCCACGUGGAGGGCCACAAGCGCAUCGUCAUCUUCGCGCUGCGCCGCAUCCUGCGCGGCGAGGAGCUCACCUACGACUACAAGUUCCCCAUCGAGGAGCCGGCGGCCAAGCUGCCCUGCAACUGCGGCGCGCGGCGCUGCCGGCGGUUCCUCAACUGAGCCUGGGCCGGGGAGGGGUCCCAGGGGGGUCCUGAGGGGGUGGGGAUGGAGGGGUGGGAGGAUGGAGAGGUUCUGGAGGUGGUUGGAGGUGGUUGGGUGUGGCGGUGGGGGGGUUUGGAGAAGGUUGGGGUGGUCCACCAGGAGUGGUGGUGGUCAACCAAGAGUUGUGAAGAUCAAUCGAGAAUCAUGGUGGUCAACCAAGGGUUGUGAAGAUCAAUCGAGAAUCAUGGUGGUCCACCAAGUGUGGUUGUGGUCAAUCAAGAGUGGUGGUGGUCAGCCAAGAGUCGUGGUGGUCAACCAAGAGCCAUACGGGUCAAUCGAGAAUCAUGGAGGUCAACCAGGAGUCAUGGUGGUCAACCAAGUGUGGUUGUGGUCAAUCAAGAGUUGUGGAGGUCAACCAAGAAUUGUGGUGGUCAACCAGGAAUCAUGGUGGUCAAGCAAGAGUCAUGGAGAUCAACCAGGAGUUGGGUGGUCCACCAAGAGCCAUGGGGUCAACCAAGAGUCCUGGAGGUCAACCAAGAGUCGUGGUGGUCAACCAAGAGUCGUGGUGGUCAAUCAGGAGUCAUGGUGGUCCACCAAGUGUGGUUGUGGUCAAUCAAGAGUUGUGGAGGUAAACCAAGAAUCAUGGUGGUCAACCAGAAGUCAUGGAGGUCAACCAAGAGUUAUGGUGGUCAACCAGGAGUCAUGGUGGUCAACCAAGAAUCGUGAUGGUCAACCAAGAAUCAUGGUGGUCAACCAGAAGUCCUGGAGGUCAACCCAGAAUCAUGGGAAGAAGAUGCUGAGGCGCUCCUUGAAGCCAUGGAGAUGCCUCCAGUCAACUGGAAAGAGCCAAAAAAUCAUGGACAGGUCCUGGUGAAGGUCCUGGAGAUGUUCCUGGAAGUCCUGGAGAUACCUCCAGCCAAUCAAGAGUCAUGGAGGUCGACCAAGAGUGAUGGGAAGAUGUUGGGUGUGCUCCCAGAAGUUCCUGAGAUGCCUCCAGUCAACCAGAAGGUCCCAAAAAUCAUGGGAACGAAAUUUUGGGGUUCACCCAGAA
RNAcentral lists this long non-coding RNA (1300 nucleotides) under Junco hyemalis (dark-eyed junco). RNAcentral's name for it is "lncRNA (ENSJHYG00000008421.1)". The record is from RNAcentral. Lineage: Eukaryota; Metazoa; Chordata; Aves; Passeriformes; Passerellidae.